This 435-nucleotide ribosomal RNA is filed under the name uncultured bacterium. RNAcentral's name for it is "partial 16S ribosomal RNA". It matches the Rfam family "Bacterial small subunit ribosomal RNA", at positions 29 to 507 of the family's 1533-position model. The record is from RNAcentral.
AGCGAACGCUGGCGGCAGGCUUAACACAUGCAAGUCGAACGGGCAUCUUCGGAUGUCAGUGGCAGACGGGUGAGUAACACGUGGGAACGUACCCUUCGGUUCGGAAUAACUCAGGGAAGCUUGAGCUAAUACCGGAUACGCCCUUUUGGGGAAAGGUUUACUGCCGAAGGAUCGGCCCGCGUCUGAUUAGCUUGUUGGUGGGGUAACGGCCUACCAAGGCGACGAUCAGUAGCUGGUCUGAGAGGAUGAUCAGCCACACUGGGACUGAGACACGGCCCAGACUCCUACGGGAGGCAGCAGUGGGGAAUAUUGGACAAUGGGCGCAAGCCUGAUCCAGCCAUGCCGCGUGAGUGAUGAAGGCCUUAGGGUUGUAAAGCUCUUUUGUCCGGGACGAUAAUGACGGUACCGGAAGAAUAAGCCCCGGCUAACUUCGUG